This 639-nucleotide ribosomal RNA is filed under the name uncultured bacterium. RNAcentral's name for it is "bacterial SSU rRNA". It matches the Rfam family "Bacterial small subunit ribosomal RNA", at positions 232 to 885 of the family's 1533-position model. The record is from RNAcentral.
CGCGGCCUAUCAGCUUGUUGGUGAGGUAACGGCUCACCAAGGCGACGACGGGUAGCUGGUCUGAGAGGACGAUCAGCCACACUGGGACUGAGACACGGCCCAGACUCCUACGGGAGGCAGCAGUAGGGAAUCUUGCGCAAUGGGGGAAACCCUGACGCAGCGACGCCGCGUGCGGGAUGACGGCCCUAGGGUUGUAAACCGCUUUCAGCGGGGACGAAAUUGACGGUACCUGCAGAAGAAGGCCCGGCUAACUACGUGCCAGCAGCCGCGGUAAUACGUAGGGGCCAAGCGUUGUCCGGAAUCAUUGGGCGUAAAGAGCUUGUAGGCGGUUUGGUGAGUCGGAUGUGAAAUCUCCACGCUCAACGUGGAGCGGCCAUCCGAUACUGCCAUGACUUGAGUCCGGUAGGGGAGUGUGGAAUUCCCGGUGUAGCGGUGAAAUGCGCAGAGAUCGGGAGGAACACCCGUAGCGAAGGCGGCACUCUGGGCCGGUACUGACGCUGAGGAGCGAAAGCGUGGGGAGCGAACAGGAUUAGAUACCCUGGUAGUCCACGCCGUAAACGUUGGGCACUAGGUGUGGGACUCUAUCGACGGGUUCCGUGCCGUAGCUAACGCAUUAAGUGCCCCGCCUGGGGAGUACGG